GGCUGUAUAGCUCAGUUGGCUAGAGCAUUCGGUUCAUACCCGAAGUGUCAUUGGUUCAAAUCCAAUUACAGCCACCA
This 77-nucleotide transfer RNA is filed under the name Candidatus Equicaccousia limihippi. RNAcentral's name for it is "tRNA-Met". It matches the Rfam family "tRNA". Rfam says of the family: Transfer RNA (tRNA) molecules are approximately 80 nucleotides in length. Their secondary structure includes four short double-helical elements and three loops (D, anti-codon, and T loops). The record is from RNAcentral. Lineage: Bacteria; Bacillati; Bacillota; Clostridia; Eubacteriales; Acutalibacteraceae.